GACGAACGCUGGCGGCGUGCCUAACACAUGCAAGUCGAGCGGUAAGGCCCUUUCGGGGGUACACGAGCGGCGAACGGGUGAGUAACACGUGGGUGACCUGCCUUUAGCUCUGGGAUAAGCCUGGGAAACUGGGUCUAAUACCGGAUAUGACCCUAUGGCGCAUGUUGUGGGGUGGAAAGUUUUCCUGUGCGGCUAGGGAUGGGCCCGCGGCCUAUCAGCUUGUUGGUGGGGUGAUGGCCUACCAAGGCGACGACGGGUAGCCGGCCUGAGAGGGCGACCGGCCACACUGGGACUGAGACACGGCCCAGACUCCUACGGGAGGCAGCAGUGGGGAAUCUUGCGCAAUGGGCGAAAGCCUGACGCAGCGACGCCGCGUGAGGGAUGACGGCCUCGG
Molecule: ribosomal RNA, 394 nt
Filed under: uncultured bacterium
Lineage: Bacteria
Description: bacterial SSU rRNA
Rfam family: Bacterial small subunit ribosomal RNA
Source: RNAcentral